UGAUGCGGUGUUUUGCUGCUCCCUCUGCUUUCAUUAUCGAUGCCGUGCAUGUCACGUUAAGCGGUCAGAGUGUUAUCCUCGGCCAAMUGGAGAAUGAAGCGGCAACGCUGACUCCACACACGGAGGUUGAAGUCGGAUCGUGCCACCUCCCAGUGGUAACCUUUGGAAAUGGCCGUGYAUCACGGUGUCAGCCAAGGCACGAACGCAGUUGCCUUGCCCAGYGUCUGGGUGAACGGUGAUUUUUGUUAUAACUGUCAUCAUUAUGGAAAAACUGUAACAUGAACGCGCUGGAUCCCUUGGCAUGCUUAGACGAUGAAGAACGUAGCGAGCUGCGAAAUGUGAUGUGAAUUGCAAAUCCAAAGCGAUCUCGUGAAUCAUCGAAUCUUUGAACGCACUGCACCGCCCUUUACGGGAGUGGUACGCCCGAAUGAGCGUCAUAUUACUCUUCAGGCUGGUAUUCUCAACUGUUGAAUCAGUAGACRGCUUGUUACUGCACACCACUUUCUAGGAAGUGGAAGAGGUAACAUGGUGUGAGGACACCUUGCUCUGGUUACGAGACYGCAUGGCAAGACAAUGUCGUUAGACCUCUAGUCUGCCGUGUGUCUUUAGAUGCAUUAGCGGACCUGGCACUACUUUACGUCUGUACCGCRGUGUGAUACUGAUGAUCACYGCUGGGAGUAGAGCAUUCCGAUCGCUGCUAACUCGCCUUUGGGCAAACCCCACUGUUCUCAGUGACAUAUGACAAUUGGCCUCACUCGGGUGUGAUGACCCGCUUGAUUUAAGCAUAUUAUUCAGCGGAGGAAAAGAAACUAACAAGGAUUCCCCUAGUAACUGCGAGUGAAGAGGGAUGAGC
Molecule: ribosomal RNA, 853 nt
Filed under: uncultured Tulasnellaceae
Lineage: Eukaryota; Fungi; Basidiomycota; Agaricomycetes; Cantharellales; Tulasnellaceae
Description: eukaryotic LSU rRNA
Rfam family: Eukaryotic large subunit ribosomal RNA (bases 746-853)
Source: RNAcentral